This 472-nucleotide ribosomal RNA is filed under the name uncultured bacterium. RNAcentral describes it as "bacterial SSU rRNA". It matches the Rfam family "Bacterial small subunit ribosomal RNA", at positions 8 to 526 of the family's 1533-position model. The record is from RNAcentral.
AGGGUUUGAUUCUGGCUCAGAAUGAACGCUGGCGGCAUGCCUAACACAUGCAAGUCGAACGAGAUCUUCGGAUCUAGUGGCGCACGGGUGAGUAACGCGUGGGAACCUACCUUUUAGUACGGGACAACGUUUGGAAACGAACGCUAAUACCGUAUACGCCCUCCGGGGGAAAGGUCUGCCGCUAAAAGAGGGGCCCGCGUCUGAUUAGCUUGUUGGUAGGGUAAUGGCCUACCAAGGCAACGAUCAGUAGCUGGUCUGAGAGGAUGAUCAGCCACACUGGGACUGAGACACGGCCCAGACUCCUACGGGAGGCAGCAGUGGGGAAUAUUGGACAAUGGAGGCAACUCUGAUCCAGCAAUGCCGCGUGUGUGAUGAAGGCCUUAGGGUUGUAAAGCACUUUCAACGGUGAAGAUGAUGACGGUAGCCGUAGAAGAAGCCCCGGCUAACUUCGUGCCAGCCGCCGCGGUAAUAC